RNAcentral lists this ribosomal RNA (332 nucleotides) under uncultured bacterium. RNAcentral's name for it is "bacterial SSU rRNA". It matches the Rfam family "Bacterial small subunit ribosomal RNA", at positions 568 to 898 of the family's 1533-position model. The record is from RNAcentral.
UGUGUAGGCGGGCUUGUAAGUGUCUUGUGAAAUCCCACGGCUUAACCGUGGAAUGGCUGGGCAUGCUGCAAGUCUUGAGCUGCUUAGGGGUCGGUGGAACAAAUGGUGGAGCGGUGAAAUGCGUAGAUAUCAUUUGGAACGCCAACGGUGAAAACAGCCGACUGGGAGCACGCUGACGCUGAGACACGAAAGCCAGGGGAGCGAACGGGAUUAGAUACCCCGGUAGUCCUGGCCGUAAACGAUGUCAACUAGAUCGUGGUUCCUUUGACGGGAUCACGUUCGCAGCAAAAGUGCUAAGUUGACCGCCUGGGAAGUACGGUCGCAAGGCUAAA